Molecule: microRNA precursor, 72 nt
Filed under: Scleropages formosus (Asian bonytongue)
Lineage: Eukaryota; Metazoa; Chordata; Actinopteri; Osteoglossiformes; Osteoglossidae
Description: mir-10 microRNA precursor family
Rfam family: mir-10 microRNA precursor family
About the family: In this case the mature sequence comes from the 5' arm of the precursor.
Source: Rfam by way of RNAcentral
UGUCGCGAACCCGUAGAUCCGAUCUUGUGGUGAUUGUGGGCGCACAAGUUGGGUUCUGUGGGUCUGCGUCUC